Molecule: unclassified non-coding RNA, 405 nt
Filed under: soil metagenome
Description: partial contains 5.8S ribosomal RNA, internal transcribed spacer 2, and large subunit ribosomal RNA
Rfam family: 5.8S ribosomal RNA (bases 1-121)
Source: RNAcentral
GAUGAAGAACGCAGCGAAAUGCGAUAAGUAAUGUGAAUUGCAGAAUUCAGUGAAUCAUCGAAUCUUUGAACGCACCUUGCGCCCUUUGGACAUUCCGGAGGGCAUGCCUGUUUGAGUAUCAUGAACACCUCAACUCUCACGGCUUGUCCGUGAUGAGCUUGGACUUUGGGGGUCUUGCCGGCCUGUGGUCGGCUCCUCUCAAAUGGAUCAGCUUGCCAGUGUUUGGUGGCAUCACAGGUGUGAUAACUAUCUGCGCUUGUGGUUUUCCAUCAGAUAACCUUCAGUGAUAUGGAGGUUCGCUGGAGCUCACAAAUGUCUCUCCUUAGUGAGGACAGCUCUUUGAACGUUUGAUCUCAAAUCAGGUAGGACUACCCGCUGAACUUAAGCAUAUCAAUAAGCGGAGGA